RNAcentral lists this long non-coding RNA (214 nucleotides) under Musa acuminata (dwarf banana). RNAcentral describes it as "long non-coding RNA (MACU_LNC007105)". The record is from RNAcentral. Lineage: Eukaryota; Viridiplantae; Streptophyta; Magnoliopsida; Zingiberales; Musaceae.
AAGAAAGAACAAAUUUAAAAAUAAUACAAAAAAUAAAUUCGAACAUAAGAAGGACCAAGUGAUUUGCUAUGAGUGCAAAAAACCGGGACACUACAAGAACGAUUGUCCUCAAGCCAAAAAGAGAACAUCAAAGAAGAAGGCACUCAAGGCAACGUGGGAUAAUUCAAGCACGUCCGAAGAAGAGGAGUCCAACACCGAGCAAGUUGCUCAUUAC